AUGGCUGCGAUGCAAGAGGAGUUUGAUGCCCUGUUGCGCAAUCGGGCGUGGCAGCUUGUUCCCCGUCCCCGGCACGCCAACGUGAUUACCGGGAAGUGGGUCUUCAAACACAAGCUCCGUCCCGAUGGUACCCUUGAUCGCUACAAAGCGCGCUGGGUCGUUCGUGGAUUCCGACAGCGUGCUGGCAUCGACUUCACCGACACAUUCGCUCCGGUCGUCAAGCCCGGCACGAUACGCACGGUUCUCCACCUUGCGGUCUCCCGUGCUUGGCCGAUGCACCAAAUGGACGUCUCCAACGCCUUCAUGGUCACCUCGAGGAGCAGGUCUUCUGCCAGCAGCCCACCGGGUUCGUUGAUCCAGCACUUCGCGACCACGUGUGCCUGCUUUCGCGGUCCUUGUAUGGACUCAAGCAGGCUCCGCGCGCUUGGUACCAGCGCAUUGCGGCGUUUCUUCAUCAGCUUGGGUUCCGCUCCACUCGGUCGGACGCUUCUCUCUUCGUUUAUCAACAGGGCUCCGACACGGCAUACUUGCUGCUAUAUGUCGACGACAUCAUCCUGA
RNAcentral lists this ribosomal RNA (558 nucleotides) under Triticum aestivum (bread wheat). Its description in RNAcentral is "partial small subunit ribosomal RNA". The record is from RNAcentral. Lineage: Eukaryota; Viridiplantae; Streptophyta; Magnoliopsida; Poales; Poaceae.